UAAAUUAAAGGGGAUGGAGCUCCCCAUUGCUUACUGUUUAAAUAACAUUUGAUGGCUCCUAUCUAUUU
Molecule: non-coding RNA, 68 nt
Filed under: Halanaerobium praevalens
Lineage: Bacteria; Bacillati; Bacillota; Clostridia; Halanaerobiales; Halanaerobiaceae
Also listed under: 1 other name
Description: Fluoride sequence
Rfam family: Fluoride riboswitch aptamer (crcB RNA motif)
Source: RNAcentral